UCCCGUGUGGCUCAGUUGGUAGAGCAUGGUGUUUGCAAUGCCAGGGUUGUGGGUUUGAUUCCCACGGGGAA
This 71-nucleotide transfer RNA is filed under the name Salmo salar (Atlantic salmon). It matches the Rfam family "tRNA". Rfam says of the family: Transfer RNA (tRNA) molecules are approximately 80 nucleotides in length. Their secondary structure includes four short double-helical elements and three loops (D, anti-codon, and T loops). The record is from Rfam by way of RNAcentral. Lineage: Eukaryota; Metazoa; Chordata; Actinopteri; Salmoniformes; Salmonidae.